CAGCAGCCACGGUAAUACGGAGGGUGCAAGCGUUACUCGGAAUUACUGGGCGUAAAGCGUGCGUAGGUGGUGGUUUAAGUCCGUUGUGAAAGCCCUGGGCUCAACCUGGGAAUUGCAGUGGAUACUGGGUCACUAGAGUGUGGUAGAGGAUAGUGGAAUUUCCGGUGUAGCAGUGAAAUGCGUAGAGAUCGGAAGGAACAUCUGUGGCGAAGGCGACUAUCUGGGCCAACACUGACACUGAGGCACGAAAGCGUGGGGAGCAAACAGGAUUAGAUACCCCGGUAGUCCCUGUCUCUUAUAC
Molecule: ribosomal RNA, 301 nt
Filed under: uncultured bacterium
Lineage: Bacteria
Description: partial 16S ribosomal RNA
Rfam family: Bacterial small subunit ribosomal RNA
Source: RNAcentral